CUUUCUUCCUGCUUUUGAGCUGAGCCCAACCACAGACAAACCGUGGAAAUGGAAAUGGGAACAUACAGAUGCAAUGCUUUUUCUUUUUCAAAUAUUUGACCUGAUAAGCAAAGCUGCUCCACUGGGAGGAUUAAAGCACAACAAAUGGAUUUCUGCUUGGGAAAGUGAUGGGUAAAACAACAUGCUAGAAGAGCUCCAGAGUUGCUUUCCUAAAACUGCGCUGGCUGUUCCUCUAACUCACAUGCUUGCUGAGUUUGAACUACUCAGGUCUUCUACAAUUCAGCCUCCAAGAAGCUGAAGAGUCUCCCUCCAGCCACAAAAAAAGCCUUAAGCACACACUUAAAUGUAACCAGAGGAGGAAACCCACGGAGAGAUUAAGUGACUUGCCUAAGGUCAUAAGUGCCAGAGUCAAGAAG
Long non-coding RNA from Alligator sinensis (Chinese alligator), 416 nucleotides. RefSeq lists it as uncharacterized. Lineage: Eukaryota; Metazoa; Chordata; Crocodylia; Alligatoridae. The transcript has 3 exons. The record is from RefSeq and is a predicted model, not a curated record.